AGGAUUUGGUUUAAGAUUUAGAGUUUGGUUAGGAUUUGAUGUAAGGUUAAGAUUUGAUUAGGAUUUGGUUUAGGAUUUAGAAUUUGGUUAAGAUUUCAUUUAGGAUUUAGGAUUUGGUUUAGGAUUUGGUUAGGAUUUGAUUUAGAGUUUGGUUUAAGAUUUAGUUAGGAUUUGAUUUAGAAUUUAGGAUUUGGUUUAGGAUUUGCUUAAGGUUUGAUUAAAAUUUGGUUUAGGAUUUGAUUAGGAUUUGAUUUAGGAUUUAGGGUUUGAUUUAGGAUUUAGGAUUUUAUUAAGGUUUGUUUAGAGUUUAAGAUUUAAUUAAUUUUUGGCCUAAAUUUUGAAUGAAGUUCAAUAGGAUUUUAAUUAGAAUUAAAUUAAGAUUGAAUUGAGAUGUAUUUGAGAUAUAUUUGUGAUCAUUCUAAUAUUUCUUUAAGAUUUUUUAUUAUUUUUUUGAAUUUCUUUUGAAGUUUCUUUGAAUUUGAUUAAAUCUUGCUUAGCAUUAUUAUAGUCUAAUUAGAGUUUAGUUAGUAUUCUAUUAGAGUUAGGAUUUUGUUGUUGCAAUUUCUAUUCUACCUUCCAUAGCUAGGUGCCCGAAGCAUUCUCAAGCAAG
This 610-nucleotide long non-coding RNA is filed under the name Physcomitrium patens. Its description in RNAcentral is "long non-coding RNA (PPAT_LNC007013)". Lineage: Eukaryota; Viridiplantae; Streptophyta; Bryopsida; Funariales; Funariaceae. The record is from RNAcentral.